AGUGGGAUAGCUGGGUCAAAUGGUGGUUCCAUUCCCAGUUUUCCAAGGAAUCUCCAUACUGUUUUCCAUAUUGGCUGCACCAUUUUGCAGUCCCAUUAGCAAU
Molecule: microRNA precursor, 103 nt
Filed under: Marmota monax (woodchuck)
Lineage: Eukaryota; Metazoa; Chordata; Mammalia; Rodentia; Sciuridae
Source: RNAcentral